AUUGAACGCUGGCGGCAGGCUUAACACAUGCAAGUCGAGCGGAGCGAGGGUGCUUGCACCUUAGCUUAGCGGCGGACGGGUGAGUAAUGCUUAGGAAUCUGCCUAUUAGUGGGGGACAACAUUCCGAAAGGGAUGCUAAUACCGCAUACGCCCUACGGGGGAAAGCAGGGGAUCUUCGGACCUUGCGCUAAUAGAUGAGCCUAAGUCGGAUUAGCUAGUUGGUGGGGUAAAGGCCUACCAAGGCGACGAUCUGUAGCGGGUCUGAGAGGAUGAUCCGCCACACUGGGACUGAGACACGGCCCAGACUCCUACGGGAGGCAGCAGUGGGGAAUAUUGGACAAUGGGCGGAAGCCUGAUCCAGCCAUGCCGCGUGUGUGAAGAAGGCCUUUUGGUUGUAAAGCACUUUAAGCGAGGAGGAGGCUACUAGUAUUAAUACUACUGGAUAGUGGACGUUACUCGCAGAAUAAGCACCGGCUAACUCUGUGCCAGCCGCCGCGGUAA
RNAcentral lists this ribosomal RNA (501 nucleotides) under uncultured bacterium. RNAcentral describes it as "partial 16S ribosomal RNA". It matches the Rfam family "Bacterial small subunit ribosomal RNA", at positions 30 to 523 of the family's 1533-position model. The record is from RNAcentral.